Molecule: ribosomal RNA, 253 nt
Filed under: uncultured bacterium
Lineage: Bacteria
Also listed under: 1 other name
Description: partial 16S ribosomal RNA
Rfam family: Bacterial small subunit ribosomal RNA
Source: RNAcentral
UACGUAGGGUGCGAGCGUUAAUCGGAAUUACUGGGCGUAAAGCGUGCGCAGGCGGUUCGUUAAGUCAGCUGUGAAAGCCCCGGGCUCAACCUGGGAAUUGCGGUUGAAACUGGCGGACUAGAAUCUGGCAGAGGGGGGUGGAAUUCCACGUGUAGCAGUGAAAUGCGUAGAGAUGUGGAGGAACACCGAUGGCGAAGGCAGCCCCCUGGGCUGAGAUUGACGCUCAGGCACGAAAGCGUGGGGAGCAAACAGG